Dendronephthya gigantea is the source of this 830-nucleotide long non-coding RNA. RefSeq lists it as uncharacterized. The transcript is spliced from 4 exons. The record is from RefSeq and is a predicted model, not a curated record. Lineage: Eukaryota; Metazoa; Cnidaria; Anthozoa; Malacalcyonacea; Nephtheidae.
CAGUACAUGAGAAGCACAACGUUUCAAAAGGCCUUACUGUUAGGUGUUCUCGAUACAUAAAGUGCAUUGUCUUUUGGAAUUUUCUUCGAGGUAAUAAAAGGUGAUUCAGACUUCUGCGAUUCGAUCAUUAUUCUCGAAGAAGACGAAGUCACUCGAAGUCGAAGAAGGAGAAAUCACUCGAAGAAGGAGAAAUCAUUCGAAGAAGUUUAGAGAAAAGUUGGAAGAAUCUUUCUCAGAACGAACUAUACGACGACGAAAGAUGGGAAAGGCGAAACACAAACGAAUAAUAGACUGAAAGAAUCGUCUGAGUCAAAAGUGUCGGAGCUGCCUUGGGACAUUAAUGCACGCAAAUACAAAACUCAAUUUGAUUUCGGUGAAAAUUUGCAUGAGUAAAAUAUGCAUGGAUUUGGCUUUUUUGACUGAGAUAUGCUGAACACUCUUCUGUUUACCUCCUUGAUUUUCAACUUUUCGGAUUGCGGUUUUUGCAUGGGUUAACUGACCUAGUCGUAUCAAGCGCAUGCGGAGUAAAUACAAGUGAUUUGGGGCCCCAUCACUUGUAUUUUUCUCCAUCUUGAACGACAAUAGUCCGGAACAAAAAUAUUGCUCACAGAGCGCCUAAAACAUAAAAAUGCAUGAGAAUUUGUAUUUCUAGAAGGAGAUAAUAGUCGAGUGUUUUGGUUUUCUCGAGAUCUAAGAAAACGAUGAAUAUUUCCUACAAAACGUGCAUGACAAUUUUGUAUUUGCGUGCGCAAUGCGAAGGCCUUGGACGAGUGGCGUUGGAGAUGUCGAAGGAUCGUCACAGGAUCAGAUGAUGAAGGAUCGUCGCAGGA